AAACACUUGGUUGCCUGCAUACACAGUUCUCUCCCCUGUCGUUGUCACACCCCUUAUCAAUACUUUCCCAUCGUUUUCAACUUCACAGCUAAAUUCCCCUGCAGUCAGGAAAUCAAUACUCAUAUCAAGCAGCAGCAGUAAAAAUCAGGUCAUUUCUUGAAAUCUUGAGAUGAACUGUGUGCAAAUGAAUGAAUUAGGUGAUUGAUAAAUUCUAUGUCCUAAUUCACAACUUACGUUCAUCCCUUUUCACCCCAGGAAGGGAUACACGAAAAAGAUACGAGUCCUCGCACUCCCCAAUAUCCAUGUGCCCAAUGGCUGGUCCUAUCUGCCCAACAGCAGCACUUCCAGUCAAUGCAAAUCCACCUCUUGUGGCAGCAACAAUGUUCUUCAACUCCUCCAUUGUUGGGUGAGAAGGGAGAAAGAUCUGAGCUGCUUCAACCCUAUCAGCAGCUGAGGUGUCUCCUUCUCUAGGCAAUAUAGUCAUACCACUGCUAACGGAUGUCACACAGUGACCCCGUUGUGGGGGAUCAUCUGCAUGUCUUUUUCUAUAAGAAUCAUGGCAAGACCUGGACGGAGGCUGCUGUCCAGUAGAUUCAGCUCUCUGCACUGACACAUUAUGCAAAGCUCCACCCACCCUGGAAAUGAGAGAUUCUUUAGUCUGAGAUGAUUCUUUAGUCUGAGAUGAGCCGAUCAUUGCAGUUGCAGAUGUAGUUGGAAAAUCUGCAAGAAAAAGUAGCAGCACUUCAGGGGAAAUUCAUGUGCAAAGUAGAAAGCAGAUUUCCACUUGAUACUCCCAAGAUAUGUAUGCAUUGACAGUUUAUCGUUUAAUUUUCAGAAGCACCCUACAAUCAAACUCCUUGGUAGAGGAUGCCCAAAGAGAUGUGAAACAUACUCCUAUGAGUAAUCAACAGAUCUUUUCCUGUCCUCGAAGAUCCUAGAGUUCCACUUAAUACUUGAUACAAAUUACCCGAAAAGCUGUUAGCAUAUCCCUCUUCAGUAGCACCCUCCCCCAAAGAUUUUCCAAAUGCCCCAAAACAUAAUAACCAACAUAUCUGCAAUAUCUCUAGGUAGAGACCAAGAAAUUCAGAAUAUAGGAUUUUGCAGGGGAGGUUUUCACUUAAAAGAGAGGAGACCCACCUUAUAUUCUUGAGGUGUUGUGCCUAAGAUCCAUUCUCCCUAUAACACUAAAACCUUGAAAGUAUAGUAAGCAAUGGAUUAAAAACCAUCAUAUUUCAGGAUUCAUCAACUUGAUUUAUAUAAAGAGGAGUGGAGAAAAAAUCUUAUUGAGCAGAAAAUUGUUUCUUUUUCCUGCCUUUCCCUACCAUUUCCUCC
This 1332-nucleotide long non-coding RNA is filed under the name Vitis vinifera (wine grape). RNAcentral describes it as "long non-coding RNA (VVIN_LNC004459)". Lineage: Eukaryota; Viridiplantae; Streptophyta; Magnoliopsida; Vitales; Vitaceae. The record is from RNAcentral.